This 497-nucleotide ribosomal RNA is filed under the name uncultured bacterium. RNAcentral's name for it is "partial 16S ribosomal RNA". It matches the Rfam family "Bacterial small subunit ribosomal RNA", at positions 28 to 507 of the family's 1533-position model. The record is from RNAcentral.
GAUGAACGCUGGCGGCGUGCCUAAUACAUGCAAGUCGAGCGAACGGACGAGAAGCUUGCUUCUCUGAUGUUAGCGGCGGACGGGUGAGUAACACGUGGAUAACCUACCUAUAAGACUGGGAUAACUUCGGGAAACCGGAGCUAAUACCGGAUGAUAUUUUGAACCGCAUGGUUCAAAAGUGAAAGACGGUCUUGCUGUCACUUAUAGAUGGAUCCGCGCUGCAUUAGCUAGUUGGUAAGGUAACGGCUUACCAAGGCAACGAUGCAUAGCCGACCUGAGAGAGUGAUCGGCCACACUAGAACUGAGACACGGUCCAGACUCCUACGGGAGGCAGCAGUAGGGAAUCUUCCGCAAUGGGCGAAAGCCUGACGGAGCAACGCCGAGUGAGUGAUGAAGGUCUUCGGAUCGUAAAACUCUGUUAUUAGGGAAGAACAUAUGUGUAAGUAACUGUGCACAUCUUGACGGUACCUAAUCAGAAAGCCACGGCUAACUACGUG